GCAGUCGAGCGAGAAAGGGUCCUUCGGGGCCUGAGUAGAGCGGCAGACGGGUGCGNAACACGUGGGUAACCUGCCCUCCGGCGGGGGAUAACCACCCGAAAGGGUGGCUAAUACCGCAUGAGACCCCGACUUUUCGGAGUUGAGGUUAAAGGCUUCGGCCACCGGAGGAGGGGCCCGCGUCCGAUUAGCUAGUUGGUGGGGUAAGGGCCUACCAAGGCGACGAUCGGUAGCUGGUCUGAGAGGAUGAUCAGCCACACUGGUACUGAGACACGGACCAGACUCCUACGGGAGGCAGCAGUGGGGAAUAUUGCGCAAUGGGGGAAACCCUGACGCAGCAACGCCGCGUGGGUGAUGAAGGCCUUCGGGUCGUAAAGCCCUGUCAGGUGGGAAGAACCAGGUCCUUCGGGACCCCUGACGGUACCACCAAAGGAAGCACCGGCUAACUCCGUGCCAGCAGCCGCGGUAAUACGGAGGGUGCAAGCGUUGUUCGGAAUUACUGGGCGUAAAGGGCGCGUAGGCGGCCAGGACAGUCCGGUGUGAAAGCCCGGGGCUCAACCCCGGAAGUGCAUUGGAAACUGCCUGGCUUGAGUUCGGAAGAGGAGGGCAGAAUUCCCGGUGUAGGGGUGAAAUCCGUAGAGAUCGGGAGGAAAACCAGUGGCGAAGGCGGCCCUCUGGGACGAAACUGACGCUGAGGCGCGAAAGCGUGGGGAGCAAACAGGAUUAGAGACCCUGGUAGUCCACGCCGUAA
Molecule: ribosomal RNA, 748 nt
Filed under: uncultured Pseudomonadota bacterium
Lineage: Bacteria; Pseudomonadati; Pseudomonadota
Description: bacterial SSU rRNA
Rfam family: Bacterial small subunit ribosomal RNA
Source: RNAcentral